AACGCACAUUGCGCCCAUUAGUAUUCUAGUGGGCAUGCCUGUUCGAGCGUCAUUUCAACCCUCAAGCCCCAGUUGCUUGGUGUUGGGAGCCUGCCCCUCUAGGGGGGCAGCUCCUUAAAGCUAUUGGCGGAGUCGUAUUGGCCCUAAGCGUAGUAAUUUUUUCUCGCUUCUAGUGGUUCCAGUGCUGGCGUCCAGCCGUAAAACCCCUAAUUUUCUAGUGGUUGACCUCGGAUCAGGUAGGAAUACCCGCUGAACUUAA
RNAcentral lists this unclassified non-coding RNA (259 nucleotides) under uncultured Xylariales. Its description in RNAcentral is "sequence contains 5.8S rRNA gene, ITS2, 28S rRNA gene". The record is from RNAcentral. Lineage: Eukaryota; Fungi; Ascomycota; Sordariomycetes; Xylariales.